GAAAUGCGAUAAGUAGUGUGAAUUGCAGAAUUCAGUGAAUCAUCGAAUCUUUGAACGCACAUUGCGCCCCUUGGUAUUCCAUGGGGCAUGCCUGUUCGGGCGUCAUUUGUACCCUCAAGCUCUGUUUGGUGUUGGGUGUUUGUCCCCGUCUCCGCGCGUGGACUCGCCCCAAAGUGAUUGGCAGCCGGCGUACUGGUCCCGGAGCGCAGCACAUGUCGCGCAAACGAGUGCCUUGGUACGGCGGCGUCCAUAAGCCCCUCUCUCACGCUCUUGACCUCGGAUCAGGUAGGGAUACCCGCUGAACUUAAGC
Molecule: unclassified non-coding RNA, 310 nt
Filed under: plant metagenome
Description: partial contains 5.8S ribosomal RNA, internal transcribed spacer 2, and large subunit ribosomal RNA
Rfam family: 5.8S ribosomal RNA (bases 1-105)
Source: RNAcentral